UCCUUACUCUAAUGGCUCCAUCCUCUUCCAGCCCAUAAGCAUUUUGUCACUGUGACCCCAGAGGUUAUUCAGGCCUUUUGAUCUUGCCUACCUCCAGCCCAGUUUCCCAGCUGCCCUGCGGACCCACCACCCAGAGGGAAAUUUGGGCUCGCCCAUCGGCAGCCAGCCAGCACUGCCUGUGCUCCGUGCCAGCCCUUCAGGAAUCUACCUAGAGUCCCCUCUCCAGCAGGGUGGAGUCUAUUAUGGGUCGAUUAGCUGCUCCUUUUCAGCGCAGAUUUAACACUGUCCAAAAGGUUGUUUCUCUGGAGAAUCCUGAUUAAUACAUGAAGGGUCAAGAUAAGUCUACUCCAGGUGAAGUGCAAAAAAUGAACAAGGAGGCCCAAUGAUGCAUCUGCUUAACUUUUCAGUUGUCAAUGCAAAUUAAGCACAAAGAGGACAGAGUUGAUGACAUAUCAGGAACAUUUUUUACUUCCGGAGCAGGUCUGAGUCCCAGCGGAAGACUGAGGCCGACUGAGCCAGAGGCACCACUUCAAUAGGUCACUGGUCUCUGCAGGGAAAGGAAAAGGUGUAAGAGUUCUCCCUGCAUAGAUGCUAUUUGUGACUUGGAUGUUUUCUUUCUAAUACAAAUGCAUCAAAGUGUUCACAGGAAUCUAGCUAUAUGCAAGAAGUCUGGAUUAUCUGCCUGAGAGAACUGGCCAGUAUCUCACCCAUGAGCACCAGAACCCAUUUCUAGAUUACUAAGAAAGGAGCACAAGAACACUGUGUAUAAGGCUCUGUGUUCCUAGAACUUUCUAAAUUUUACUUAAUGCAGGUUAACUUCAUCAACCCUGGUGAAAAUGCCACCUCCUCAUGAGGAAGCCUUCCCCAUUUGCUCUGUCUCAGAGACACUUGACUCCAUGGACUUCUCUGCAAUUCUGUUCUGUGUAGGACUGCCUAGUGCCUAGCCUUCUUGUGAUGUUCCUUGCUUAUGUCUUGUCUCCCCAUUUGAUUUGGAGGGUCCUGGGCAGGGACCACUGGGCUGGGCUCUAGUAGGCCCCCUGUAAAGACCUGUUGAGUAAUUAGAAGAGACAGUGGCCCCAUCUGGGUGAAUCCUGAAUUUAAUCAAUUUCCUGGAUCCUUGUUUAUUUUGCAAGUAGGAUAAGAAUGUCAUUGAAAUCCUAUCAUGUAGUCAUGGAAGGGCUAAUACAGUCAGUGUACUGCUACUCACUAAGCAUGCUGUUUAGCUCAGCGGUUUUUUGUUUUGUUUUGAUAACAAGACUGUCUCGAUGAAAGAAGCAGGGCGUUGUUUAAUAUUCUAAUGCAGGCUCCUUAUUUCACGACAUACUGGUAGUUACACUUGGAGUCGCAGUGAAAUAAAACAUCUAGGCCAGC
This 1371-nucleotide long non-coding RNA is filed under the name Homo sapiens (human). RNAcentral's name for it is "gastric cancer associated transcript 3". The record is from RNAcentral. Lineage: Eukaryota; Metazoa; Chordata; Mammalia; Primates; Hominidae.